This 111-nucleotide ribosomal RNA is filed under the name Petromyzon marinus (sea lamprey). The record is from RNAcentral. Lineage: Eukaryota; Metazoa; Chordata; Hyperoartia; Petromyzontiformes; Petromyzontidae.
GUCUAUAAAUACAUCAACCUGAAUGCAUGUAAUUUUCAUAAGCUAAGCAGGCAUGAUACUGGUUAGCAAUUUGACGAGAGGGCUGCCUGGGAAUACCAGGUGUUGUAGGCU